Non-coding RNA from Pelobates cultripes (western spadefoot toad), 201 nucleotides. The record is from the annotation of a GenBank genome assembly. Lineage: Eukaryota; Metazoa; Chordata; Amphibia; Anura; Pelobatidae.
AUUGUAAUCAUGGGCUACUGGAUUUCCAGUCUCCCAUAAGGGAUUAGCCCAGGUUAAAGCCUUACCCGUUAAUUGGUUAAUUUUCGAUCUAUCUGUAGGGAAUGAACCAGGGGAAGCUUCGAAGUGGUAUUCAAUUUGGUUUAAAAAACCUCUAAAUUCCUUAGAAUCGCCUCCAAAACGAGAUGGAGGUGAAAGGGUUAU